RNAcentral lists this ribosomal RNA (950 nucleotides) under uncultured Flavobacteriaceae bacterium. RNAcentral's name for it is "bacterial SSU rRNA". It matches the Rfam family "Bacterial small subunit ribosomal RNA", at positions 49 to 1005 of the family's 1533-position model. The record is from RNAcentral. Lineage: Bacteria; Pseudomonadati; Bacteroidota; Flavobacteriia; Flavobacteriales; Flavobacteriaceae.
UUACACAUGCAAGUCGAGUGGUAUAGUUCUUCGGAGCUAGAGACCGGCGCACGGGUGCGUAACGCGUAUGCAAUCUACCUUUUACAGAGGGAUAGCCCAGAGAAAUUUGGAUUAAUACCUCAUAGUAUGUGAGAAUCGCAUGGUUUUCACAUUAAAGUCACAACGGUAAAAGAUGAGCAUGCGUCCCAUUAGCUAGAUGGUAAGGUAACGGCUUACCAUGGCAACGAUGGGUAGGGGUCCUGAGAGGGAGAUCCCCCACACUGGUACUGAGACACGGACCAGACUCCUACGGGAGGCAGCAGUGAGGAAUAUUGGACAAUGGGCGCAAGCCUGAUCCAGCCAUGCCGCGUGCAGGAUGACGGUCCUAUGGAUUGUAAACUGCUUUUGUACAGGAAGAAACACUCCCUCGUGAGGGAGCUUGACGGUACUGUAAGAAUAAGGAUCGGCUAACUCCGUGCCAGCAGCCGCGGUAAUACGGAGGAUCCAAGCGUUAUCCGGAAUCAUUGGGUUUAAAGGGUCCGUAGGCGGUUUAAUAAGUCAGUGGUGAAAGCCCAUCGCUCAACGGUGGAACGGCCAUUGAUACUGUUAAACUUGAAUUAUUAGGAAGUAACUAGAAUAUGUAGUGUAGCGGUGAAAUGCUUAGAGAUUACAUGGAAUACCAAUUGCGAAGGCAGGUUACUACUAAUGGAUUGACGCUGAUGGACGAAAGCGUGGGUAGCGAACAGGAUUAGAUACCCUGGUAGUCCGCGCCGUAAACGAUGGAUACUAGCUGUUGGGAGCAAUCUCAGUGGCUAAGCGAAAGUGAUAAGUAUCCCACCUGGGGAGUACGUUCGCAAGAAUGAAACUCAAAGGAAUUGACGGGGGCCCGCACAAGCGGUGGAGCAUGUGGUUUAAUUCGAUGAUACGCGAGGAACUUACCCAAGCUUAAAUGUAGUUUGACCGAUUUGGAA